This is a long non-coding RNA of Chrysemys picta bellii (western painted turtle), 1896 nucleotides long. Lineage: Eukaryota; Metazoa; Chordata; Testudines; Emydidae. The record is from Ensembl.
UAUAGACUAAUUUUGCAAAUGAGAAUUUUCUUUUAUCUGUUUUGAAUUUGCUACCUUUUGAUUUCAUUCUCAUUAUGAGCAAGGGGGAAUAAAAUGCCUCACUUACCUUCCCUAUAGCAUUUGUUGUUUUGUAUUCUCUUAUCAUGUCAUCUCAUUCUUCUCUCUCUCUCUAAGCUAAACAGUCCCAGUCUUCUCAAUCUCUUUUUGCAUGAGAGCUUUCUCAUUGUCCCUCUGAUUUUGCAAUAUCCUUUUGAGAUGGCCUGCACAUGGUAUUCCAGAUGAGGCAGCAUCACUGACAGAAUGGCAUUAUAAUUUUGUGCAUGUUAUUCUCCAUCCCAUUCCUUAUACAUCCUAACAUCUUGCUUGCUUAUUUGACUGCAGCUGCACAUUGAGCAGAGAUCCUCAUUGAACUGUCCACAACCACACCUGCAUUACUUUUCCUGACUUGAUACAAUUAAUUUACAACCGUGUAAGGUGUAUGUGAUUAUUCCCUCCAAUGUGUAUUACUUUGAAUGUAUGAACAGUGAUUUUCAUUACCAUCAAACUGCUAAUUCACCUAGCUUGGCUUGGUUCCUCACUUCCAUUUUCUGAAGACUAUCUCUUUGGCUCAACUCACCAGUUGAAUCCUGCCAUUCAGUGGAUGUUCCAUGCAUAACAAUUUUGAUGGAAGGUAGGAUAAGGCUUUGAUGGCAGCACCAGGCAAACAGAUAGAUAUCCAUGAAAAAAUUCAGCCACAGUGCUUAAGAUCUGCGUGCUGCUGUUGCAGCUGCAUUGUGCCUUGUCUGCGGAUGUGUGACACAGCUCAAAGGGUGACACAAUGCUGGGAAACCAGAGGAAAAGCGAAUGGAACUGUAAAGUUCUCCCCCCCCUCCUUUGUUCAGCAGGGAGUCCUCUGAAUUAACUUCAACUGAGAGGAACUCAUUUUGGGUUUUCCAUAAACAAAGCAUCAGAGCAUGGUUGUCCAUUGUUCUUAUACACUGGAGUCUGAAACUACCUCUUCUCCUUUUGUCUGUCUUUUUUAAAAAAAUCACUCUGCUAGAGUGAAUAUUGUACAGUUUCUUAUCCCAUGAAUACAGACAAAGCCUCCACUCUUCUUGCUUCCUACAGGGCAUCUCCAUGGAGGAUUCAUAGCAGUGCUGUAAUAUACUGGUAUUAAUGAGCACAUCAUUCAGUCCCCUAUUCCGGCUUUUUCAACAAGCCCAUACUCACAAACAAACUUUCAGGACAGUAUUUAUCUGCUUCAAACUGAAACUGCAGAAGUAAUUAAAAGCUAGGUGAUGGCAGGUCUGUAUGUCCAGCUAGCCUUAUUUUCUCUUACACAUUCACAAUUUUGUAAUUGGCCACUGGAUCGCUAACCUUUUCAUGAUUGGCCCUAGAUUGCCCUCCUACUAUUCAGUGUCCAUAACUGUUAAUGGGAAUUCUGCAUAUAGCCUGAAAAAGUAUGUAAUAGCCUGAAUCGAUGGCUAUAUGUUUAUUAUCCUCUCUUUGCACAGGGCUUCGGCAUUGCUCUCUACAGUUAUGAAACUUCAUCUUUAAAGUACUGAAAGAAUAGAGCUACAGGGUAAAACUGUACUGAAAAUAUCUUAUAAAUGACCAGUGUUUGUAUUUUUAAUUUAAAAAAAAUGAAUACAAAUAUUAAAGAAACUCCUUAGCAUCUGUGCUGUGUUUCUUAUGGGGGUAUGUGUCAUUGUAGCAUUGUUCAUUUAGUCACAUGACCAGGUUAAGGUAUCUAUGGUGAAAGCUUCUCACCAAUGCAGAUGUCAAUAGUAGGUACUAACAUGUUAACCAACCAAUCCCAGCUAUAAUCCUAGUCCUGAAGGAGGUGGAACUAGUAUGAAAGAUUAUUCAAAAAGGUGAAAGCCUUUUGUUCUCUUCAUGAAGGGUCAAGCUGCAAAG